AGUUCAGACCACCUGGAAACCCUCCCCAUGUCUUUUCAGAACAAUGUCCUAAGAACCAUAGGGGAAGUGGCCAUAAAAACCAUCUUUCCUUUGCAGACUGGGGUGGGGACUCUGGCCAAUGCCAUUCUGUUCUUCCAUAAUAUCUUUCCCAUCUUGACUGAGCAUCAAAUGAGGCCCACACACAAGAUUCUCACCCACAUGGCCGUGGCAAACUCCUUGGUUCUUCUUUCCACUGGAAUCCCCCACACAAUGGUGUCUUUUGUCCUAUGGAAACCCUUGUCCAGUCUUGAGUGUAAACUCGUGUUU
Molecule: long non-coding RNA, 306 nt
Filed under: Homo sapiens (human)
Lineage: Eukaryota; Metazoa; Chordata; Mammalia; Primates; Hominidae
Description: non-protein coding lnc-U2AF2-5:3
Source: RNAcentral